This is a small nucleolar RNA of Cavia porcellus (domestic guinea pig), 137 nucleotides long. Lineage: Eukaryota; Metazoa; Chordata; Mammalia; Rodentia; Caviidae. The record is from Ensembl.
GCAGCCCUGAAUCAAGGCCAGCAGUUUGGUGUAGCUGCUGGUUUUAAACAGGAGCCUAAAGAGAAGUCUUCCUAGGGUCUUUUGGCCAUUUCACAACUUUGGAAAUGUAAUGGUCAAUUCAUUAGAAAGAAAUAGCU